CAUCAGGCCGUGGGGUCGCUCGCAAGGCAGGAAGAGUCAGACCCAGAAUAAAACAGCACACUUCUUCUAUUCUCUCGACAUGGCUCUGACCUCUGACAGCAGCGUUCUUCUUGGAGGUUCCUGGCACGGCGAGUGAAGCCCCCCUCCCCCGCCCCAGCCAGCUCACCCCCAGCACCAUCGUGGAGGAGCCACCACAUGAGCCACAGGGCGCCAAGAUGAGUAUUUCAUUCAGCUUGUCUAGUGGGCACCUACCUCCCUUCAUCGGUGUUUCGUUGAAUUAGGCCCCCAACAUCUCAGGAGGGCUCAGCAGUGAAGUCUGGCAUCCGAGACCCACGCCCCUCCGCACAAGUUAGAUGCCCUCCACCCGGUAUCUAAGGGGUGCUAUGCUGAUUCUGGCCAAGGGAAGUCAGAAACCCCAGCACUGGCCCUGGUGGACAGUGGUUUUACGUCUUCUGGACCCUUUGUCGACGAUCUCAACUGCGGGAGGGCAAAACGUGACAUUCAGCCCCCUUCCCAACAGCGCAGCUCCCCAGUUAUCGAGUGUGUGACGCCUCUGUGUGUGAGCGACACGUCGGAGGGGCCCUGUGCUGCAUGGCGGUGAUUUCCAGGGC
This 611-nucleotide long non-coding RNA is filed under the name Scleropages formosus (Asian bonytongue). RNAcentral describes it as "lncRNA (ENSSFOG00015026644.1)". Lineage: Eukaryota; Metazoa; Chordata; Actinopteri; Osteoglossiformes; Osteoglossidae. The record is from RNAcentral.